Molecule: small nuclear RNA, 103 nt
Organism: Talpa occidentalis (Iberian mole)
Lineage: Eukaryota; Metazoa; Chordata; Mammalia; Eulipotyphla; Talpidae
Source: RefSeq, a predicted model, not a curated record
GUGUUUGCUUUGGCAGCACAUACACUAAAACUGGAAUGAUAGAAGAUUAGCAUAGCCCCUGGGCAAGGAUGACAUGCAAAUUUGUGAAGCAUUCCCUAUUUAA